This 157-nucleotide ribosomal RNA is filed under the name Staphylococcus aureus. RNAcentral's name for it is "partial 23S ribosomal RNA". It matches the Rfam family "Bacterial large subunit ribosomal RNA", at positions 2768 to 2925 of the family's 2925-position model. Lineage: Bacteria; Bacillati; Bacillota; Bacilli; Caryophanales; Staphylococcaceae. The record is from RNAcentral.
GUGCUGAAAGCAUCUAAGCAUGAAGCCCCCCUCAAGAUGAGAUUUCCCAACUUCGGUUAUAAGAUCCCUCAAAGAUGAUGAGGUUAAUAGGUUCGAGGUGGAAGCAUGGUGACAUGUGGAGCUGACGAAUACUAAUCGAUCGAAGACUUAAUCAAAA